AAGUCGUAACAAGGUUUCCGUAGGUGAACCUGCGGAAGGAUCAUUAACGCAUCUUCUGGCGGAGGCGGGCGAUCCCAGCUCCGGGCCCCAACCGGCCCGUGCAGCGGGCUCCCCGUCGACGUCCAAACCUUUGCUAAACCCAACUGUGCACCUUUGCGGCGGAAGGCUGGCAACGGCCCGACGCCGCCUCUACCAAACUCUGUUACAAACGAAUGUUCAAGCGACGCUCCGCGUUGCCUAAUAAACUUGACAACUUUCAACAACGGAUCUCUUGGCUCUC
RNAcentral lists this unclassified non-coding RNA (280 nucleotides) under air metagenome. RNAcentral's name for it is "partial contains small subunit ribosomal RNA, internal transcribed spacer 1, and 5.8S ribosomal RNA". The stretch from base 1 to 46 matches the Rfam family "Eukaryotic small subunit ribosomal RNA", at positions 1786 to 1831 of the family's 1831-position model. The record is from RNAcentral.